Molecule: non-coding RNA, 72 nt
Organism: Phthorimaea operculella (potato tuberworm)
Lineage: Eukaryota; Metazoa; Arthropoda; Insecta; Lepidoptera; Gelechiidae
Source: the annotation of a GenBank genome assembly
GGCCGAUGUGGCGCGGUGGUGGUGCGACUGCCUGCGUCGCAGAAGGUCCCGGGUCCCAUUCCCGGUGGGUCA